CCUACGGGAGGCUGCAGUCGAGAAUCAUUCACAAUGGGGGAAACUCUGAUGGUGCGACGCCGCGUGGGGGAAUGAAGGUCUUCGGAUUGUAAACCCCUGUCAUGUGGGAGCAAAUUAAAAAGAUAGUACCACAAGAGGAAGAGACGGCUAACUCUGUGCCAGCCGCCGCGGUAAUACAGAGGUCUCAAGCGAUGUUCGGAAUCACUGGGCGUAAAGCGUGCGUAGGCUGUUUCGUAAGUCGUGUGUGAAAGGCGCGGGCUCAACCCGCGGACGGCACAUGAGACUGCGAGACUAGAGUAAAGGAGAGGGGACCGGAAUUCUCGGUGUAGCAGUGAAAUGCGUAGAUAUCGAGAGGAACACUCGUGGCGAAGGCGGGUUCCUGGACAGUAACUGACGCUGAGGCACGAAGGCGAGGGGAGCGAAAGGGAUUAGAUACCCGGGUAGUC
This 446-nucleotide ribosomal RNA is filed under the name uncultured bacterium. Its description in RNAcentral is "partial 16S ribosomal RNA". It matches the Rfam family "Bacterial small subunit ribosomal RNA", at positions 338 to 795 of the family's 1533-position model. The record is from RNAcentral.